This 506-nucleotide ribosomal RNA is filed under the name uncultured bacterium. RNAcentral describes it as "partial 16S ribosomal RNA". It matches the Rfam family "Bacterial small subunit ribosomal RNA", at positions 30 to 523 of the family's 1533-position model. The record is from RNAcentral.
AUUGAACGCUGGCGGCAGGCUUAACACAUGCAAGUCGAGCGGUAACAGAGAGAAGCUUGCUUCUCUGCUGACGAGCGGCGGACGGGUGAGUAAUGCCUAGGAAUCUGCCUAGUAGUGGGGGAUAACUUGCCGAAAGGUAAGCUAAUACCGCAUACGUCCUACGGGAGAAAGGAGGGGACCUUCGGGCCUUUCGCUAUUAGAUGAGCCUAGGUCGGAUUAGUUAGUUGGUGAGGUAAUGGCUCACCAAGACCGCGAUCCGUAACUGGUCUGAGAGGAUGAUCAGUCACACUGGAACUGAGACACGGUACAGACUCCUACGGGAGGCAGCAGUGGGGAAUAUUGGACAAUGGGGAGAACCCUGAUCCAGCCAUGCCGCGUGUGUGAUGAAGGUCUUAGGAUUGUAAAGCACUUUAAGUUGGGAGGAAGAGCAGUUAACUAAUAUUUGACUGUUUUGACGUUACCGACAGAAUAAGCACCGGCUAACUUCGUGCCAGCCGCCGCGGUAA